Molecule: ribosomal RNA, 412 nt
Filed under: Escherichia coli
Lineage: Bacteria; Pseudomonadati; Pseudomonadota; Gammaproteobacteria; Enterobacterales; Enterobacteriaceae
Description: bacterial SSU rRNA
Rfam family: Bacterial small subunit ribosomal RNA
Source: RNAcentral
UGCAAGUCGACGGUAACAGGAAGCAGCUUGCUGCUUUGCUGACGAGUGGCGCCACGGGUGAGUAAUGUCUGGGAAACUGCCUGAUGGAGGGGGAUAACUACUGGAAACGGUAGCUAAUACCGCAUAACGUCGCAAGACCAAAGAGGGGGACCUUCGGGCCUCUUGCCAUCGGAUGUGCCCAGAUGGGAUUAGCUUGUUGGUGGGGUAACGGCUCACCAAGGCGACGAUCCCUAGCUGGUCUGAGAGGAUGACCAGCCACACUGGAACUGAGACACGGUCCAGACUCCUACGGGAGGCAGCAGUGGGGAAUAUUGCAAAUGGGCGCAAGCCUGAUGCACCAUGCCGCGUGUAUGAAGAAGGCCUUCGGUUGUAAAGUACUUUCGCGGGGAGGAAGGGAUAAAGUUAUACUUUG